CCGGAAUUAUUGGGCGUAAAGAGUGAGCAGGCGGUUUUUUAAGUCUGAAGUCAAAUCCUGUGGCUCAACCACAGUUCGCUUUGGAAACUGAAGAACUAGAGUGCGGGAGAGGUAAGCGGAAUUCCAUAUGUAGCGGUGAAAUGCACAGAUAUAUGGAGGAACACCGGUGGCGAAGGCGGCUUACCAGCCCGAUACUGACGCUCAGUCACGAAAGCGUGGGGAGCAAAUAGGCUUAGAUACCCUAGUAGUCCACGCCGUAAACGUUGAGGACCUGAUGCCGGAGUAUUUCGGUGUCGUAGCUAACGCGUUAAGUCCUCCGCCUGGGUACUACGUUCGCAAGAAUAAAACUUAAAGGAAUUGACGGGGGCCCGCACAAGCAGUGGAGCAUGUGGUUUAAUUCGUCGCUACGCGAAAAACCUUACCAGGGUUUGACAUCCCGCUAAAAGUCUUGGAAACAAGAUCAUAGUUAUAGCGGUGAAAGGUGGUGCAUGGUUGUCGUCAGCUCGUGUCGUGAGAUGUUGGGUUAAGUCCCCUAACGAGCGCAACCCUUGUCUCUAUUUGCCAUCAUUAAGUUGGGAACUAUAGAGAGACUGCCGGUGCAAACCGGAGGAAGAUGGGGAUGACGUCAAAUCAUCAUGCCCCUUAUGCCCUGGGCCACACACGUGCUACAAUGGCCGGUACAGAGAGAAGCAAUCCCGUGAGGAGGAGCAAAUCUCACAAAGCCGGUCUCAGUUCGGAUUGGAGUCUGCAACUCGACUCCAUGAAGCUGGAAUUGCUAGUAAUCGCAGAUCAGCAUUGCUGCGGUGAAUACGUUCCCGGGCCUUGUACACACCGCCCGUCACACCAUGAGAGUCGGCAAUACUCGAAGUCGUUAUCUUAACCCGCAAGGGAGGGAGGCGCCUAAGGUAGGGCUGAUGAUUGGGGUUAAGUCGUAACAAGGUAUCCCUACGGGAACGUGGGGAUG
This 964-nucleotide ribosomal RNA is filed under the name human gut metagenome. Its description in RNAcentral is "bacterial SSU rRNA". It matches the Rfam family "Bacterial small subunit ribosomal RNA", at positions 545 to 1520 of the family's 1533-position model. The record is from RNAcentral.